Molecule: ribosomal RNA, 433 nt
Filed under: uncultured bacterium
Lineage: Bacteria
Description: partial 16S ribosomal RNA
Rfam family: Bacterial small subunit ribosomal RNA
Source: RNAcentral
AACGAACGCUGGCGGCAUGCCUAACACAUGCAAGUCGAACGAGACCUUCGGGUCUGGUGGCGCACGGGUGCGUAACGCGUGGGAACCUGCCCUUAGGUUCGGAAUAACUCCCCGAAAGGGGUGCUAAUACCGGGUAAUGUCUUCGGACCAAAGAUUUAUCGCCUUUGGAUGGGCCCGCGUUGUAUUAGCUAGUUGGUAGGGUAAAAGCCUACCAAGGCGACGAUCCAUAGCUGGUCUGAGAGGCUGAUCAGCCACACUGGGACUGAGACACGGCCCAGACUCCUACGGGAGGCAGCAGUGGGGAAUAUUGGACAAUGGGCGAAAGCCUGAUCCAGCAAUGCCGCGUGAGUGAUGAAGGCCUUAGGGUUGUAAAGCUCUUUUACCCGGGAUGAUAAUGACAGUACCGGGAGAAUAAGCACCGGCUAACUCCGUG